UCACUGAUGGUGGCCAGACUGUUUCAACUUUCCGAACGGCUUGUUGCAAGUUGAGAGGAUCUUCGUUUUUCUCAUCAAAUAUACAAGAUCGAACAUUCAUAUGCUUCACUGAUCAUCCACUGCAUCGUACGAGUCAAAACUUCAUCCCGAAGGUGAACAGAAAUUUUAAGGUUAACAGAGGGUUUGCUCUGAAUUUCAAAAAUCGUGCAUGAAACGCCAUCUUCUGUAUGACAAAUGAAACGACGUGAGUUUCUCCAGCACCGCUGUUACCGACGUUGCGGACACGGCCGGAAGCUCAUAAAGGUAUACAUCGCUGCUGCGAUGAUAAUAAUAAUAAUGACAACGACGAGACGAAUGCGGAACGCGUAGCAAUCUCCGCCCCAGGAACGCCCUCGAGGAGGCUAUUGGCCCGAUAUCCCUUGCUCGGGAAAAGGCUGCCAUGGCCGGCGCGACCAGGCGAACGCGCCAAUCGGAGCGCACCCCCGGCAAAACAAAAGGGUUGAAUGUGAAAGGAAAAGGCGAGGAAUAUAUUUGCAGCGCAAUCGUAUUUCGCAUUGUCGGCACUGCGAGCCAGGUGAAGAUCACAUCGUGAUUCACACGACGUCCCGAUGGUACCCGCAUUGACAUUAUCUGUCAUCGGAGACGCUUCGAAUCGCUACUACCCACAAAAUGCGGAACAUUAUAUUUCUCGACGUCCAUCCCGACCGGAACAAUCGGGGCGAUUGUAUCUUCACGUUUCUAACGAUACUAUCAUCCCCUUGUCAAUCGGGAAAGUCCUCAUGGUGGCUGAUAAACAAAGAAGGAUCACCGGAGAAAAUAGCUACCCGUGGUAUAGGAGCGUCUAAUCCCGGAUGAGACGACGGCGGAUGUGCGACGACGACGGCAUCAGCGGGGAACAGCGACGGCGGAGGCGAAGGUAGAAGCGGGAGACGGCGCAGACACAUCUCUCGGAUUACGUCUUAACAAGCUCCACGACGUUCAUUUGUCUUAUCCGCUGCCACUAAUGCGACAGCAGCUGUUGAAAUGAUUAAUUCGGCGCGAGGACGGCGCGCCGCUUCGUUCCGCUCUAUCCGAGCGAAUCCGUUCUCAACUUAGUCGUCGCAGACGUGUCGCGGUUAAUCAGCGCAUUGCGGUUAAUCACCGCCGCUGCAAAAUACAAAGCCGAACGAAUAGCUUCGUUCAGCACACGUAAAUAAGAUCUGCUGAACGAAGCAGGAAAGCAUAGCUGAAGAUGUUAAUAGCAUUCGAAUCUAACUGGAAAUGCGACGCGUAAGAUUGAUCUAACAAUAAUCCACAUGCUUCAAUAGAUAAAGAAUUAUUUCUGAAGAGUCUAGAUUCCACACAUACUUAUUAUUGCUAUUUUAUACUAUGCAAGUUGAAUUAGUAGGCUCCAGUUUGAAUCGAGCUCAAUUUGGCAUGUGCGUUUGAAGAAAACUAAUCCAAUCCGAUUGUUUCAAUUUAAACUGGUAUUUUAUGACAAGUGCGUAAUCGUCACUAGAUUCAGUACGCAUAUUGCGCCAUACGAUCGCUCAUCAUUGUUCAUAGGAGGAGAAACCCUACAUUCGCCACUCACACCCUGUCCAAACAGACAGAGCAUUCUCGCGUCCACGCGCACGCGAUCUGAUUGGAUUAAUUUUCAAUUUGCAAAGGCCACCUGUCGUCGACAGCGGCGGUGUGCAGAUCGUUGAUCGCGUCCAUCGAUCGAUGACUAAUCCGCGAGAACGAGAACCCGCGCGAUUCCUAACUGCACCGAGCGGAGUCGAUUAGGGUUGCGCGACGCGACAAUUGUGCCUCAUCGCGCGGAUAUAGAGUUACAGGCGCGCGUACGGAGAAAAUGAGCGGCGAAUAUUAAGCCAGCACACAUUGCAAAAUGGCCGACACAGCACGGACGAGAAAAAAAUAGGGACGCACUCAUCUCUCUUUCUCUCGCCGUGCGAGCGGAGGAGACGCGUGAUGAACACUCGCUCCAUUCCGCUUGCUCCGCUCGUCGGGUUACGACGUGACACGGGUCGAAAUUCUGCCGCGUUAGAGGCGCAUGUGCGACGCACGCCGAUCGAAAGCCCCGCCCGACAACUGCCUUUGUUUAAUCCAUGCGGUAUCUACGCCCACGAUAACACAGUGAUGUAACUUAAGAUCUCACAAAAGAAAACUCACAAAAAUUUUUUAAAAGUAGAAUUCAUGAAUAAGUAUAAAAAUUAAUUAUGAGUAGA
Molecule: long non-coding RNA, 2210 nt
Organism: Linepithema humile (Argentine ant)
Lineage: Eukaryota; Metazoa; Arthropoda; Insecta; Hymenoptera; Formicidae
Source: RefSeq, a predicted model, not a curated record